This 274-nucleotide ribosomal RNA is filed under the name uncultured bacterium. RNAcentral describes it as "partial 16S ribosomal RNA". It matches the Rfam family "Bacterial small subunit ribosomal RNA", at positions 523 to 796 of the family's 1533-position model. The record is from RNAcentral.
AAACGUAGGUGGCGAACGUUAUCCGGAUUUACUGGGCGUAAAGCGCCCGCAGGCGGCUUCGUAAGUCUGACGUGAAAGCUCCCGGCUUAACUGGGAGAGGCCGUUGGAUACUGCGGAGCUUGAGGGCAGGAGAGGAGAGUGGAAUUCCCGGUGUAGCGGUGGAAUGCGUAGAUAUCGGGAGGAACUCCAGUGGCGAAGGCGACUCUCUGGCCUGACCCUGACGCUCAGGAGCGAAAGCGUGGGGAGCGAACAGGAUUAGAAACCCUAGUAGUCC